AGUUUGUUGGUAGGGUAAUGGCCUACCAAGACUAUGAUCAAUAGCUGAUUUGAGAGGAUGAUCAGCCACAUUGGGACUGAGACACGGCCCAAACUCCUACGGGAGGCAGCAGUGGGGAAUCUUGCACAAUGGAGGAAACUCUGAUGCAGCGAUGCCGCGUGAGUGAAGAAGGCCUUUGGGUUGUAAAGCUCUUUCGUCGGGGAAGAAAAUGACUGUACCCGAAUAAGAAGGUCCGGCUAACUUCGUGCCAGCAGCCGCGGUAAUACGAAGGGACCUAGCGUAGUUCGGAAUUACUGGGCUUAAAGAGUUCGUAGGUGGUUGAAAAAGUUGGUGGUGAAAUCCCAGAGCUUAACUCUGGGACUGCCAUCAAAACUUUUCAGCUAGAGUAUGAUAGAGGAAAGCAGAAUUUCUAGUGUAGAGGUGAAAUUCGUAGAUAUUAGAAAGAAUACCAAUUGCGAAGGCAGCUUUCUGGAUCAUUACUGACACUGAGGAACGAAAGCAU
Molecule: ribosomal RNA, 502 nt
Filed under: uncultured bacterium
Lineage: Bacteria
Description: bacterial SSU rRNA
Rfam family: Bacterial small subunit ribosomal RNA
Source: RNAcentral